GACCCCUUAGCUCAGUGGUAGAGUGUGUGAUUCCAGUCCACAAGGUCAUCCGUUCAAGUCGGGUAGGGGUCA
RNAcentral lists this transfer RNA (72 nucleotides) under Flammulina velutipes KACC42780. RNAcentral describes it as "tRNA-Trp (CCA) (tRNA-Trp-CCA-1 1 to 4)". It matches the Rfam family "tRNA". From Rfam's summary of the family: Transfer RNA (tRNA) molecules are approximately 80 nucleotides in length. Their secondary structure includes four short double-helical elements and three loops (D, anti-codon, and T loops). Lineage: Eukaryota; Fungi; Basidiomycota; Agaricomycetes; Agaricales; Physalacriaceae. The record is from RNAcentral.